GGUGUCGUACCAUGCCAACUCAUCCAUCCCGUUCAGUAACACGCGACACUGAAGGCUGGUCUUUAGGAGUGCUGUCAGCGCUUUGAUGGAAUCAUUGUGAGCCGCGUGGUCGUAUGCGUAGAGGAUUUGAAUCGUAAAGCCAAUCAGGAAGUCUUCCGGUUCUGCGCAGUAUAUACAAGAAUACGACCAAUAUGGCCGCCAUGGCAAAUAGCGUUACCACGACGACAGCGAUAGUGGCAGCAGAUGUCCCUUCGCUCUCGGUGACUUAUGAUAGAACGAAAAGUGAUUGACGGAAAAGCCUUCACAUCCGACACUGCAAAUGCACAUGUGUACCGCACUUCAAGUUGAACCUUAAAGAAGCGAAUGUGUCAGAAAUAAGCAGUAAUUUUAUCAACUGUGGAUCGCACGAAGUCAGCUGAACAGGAUGUUUAAACAUCAGCCGAGGAGAACGGAAGGGGCAAUAUCAUGCUGGUGAAAGUUGGGUUUCGGUGGGUCACCUGUGUUCGAGACCACGGAGAUCUCACUCGUGUAGCGCAGACAUGGCACGCAGUUAGUCUCGUUUCCAAGGUAACACAAACACGGACCCUUCGUGCCGAAGGCACUGGUGUCUUCCGGGAUGAACUGAAAAUGUGGAUACGUUAAAGUAAUGUUGUAGUAUCGGUUCUUCGGCACAUGAGUUUGAGCUCCACAAUGUAUUGUUACUGUUACAGUAUACCGAUUACAUGUAUAUGAAAUUAAAUGGAUUUCAUCUA
Long non-coding RNA from Dreissena polymorpha, 752 nucleotides. RefSeq lists it as uncharacterized. The record is from RefSeq and is a predicted model, not a curated record. The transcript has 3 exons. Lineage: Eukaryota; Metazoa; Mollusca; Bivalvia; Myida; Dreissenidae.